Molecule: ribosomal RNA, 373 nt
Filed under: uncultured Glomeromycotina
Lineage: Eukaryota; Fungi; Glomeromycota
Description: LSU rRNA
Source: RNAcentral
UUGAAAGGGAAACGAUUGAAGUCAGUCGUACCUGUGGGUAAUCAGCCUUUUGGGGUGAUUAUGUGGAGGGUGAGGAGGUAAACGCCUUUAUGCCUGCAUAUUCGUGCACUUUGGGUGUAUUUACCCGUGUGGUAAGUUAACAUCAAUUUCGGGGGUCAUAAAAUGGCUGGAGGAAUGGAGCUUCGAUCUUGUAUUGAAGUGGUAUAGCCUUCGGUAGAUGUGAUGGUCGGGAUUGAGGAUUGCAACGGAUACCCUUCGGGGCUACCUGGUCUGAUCUCUGAUCGUUGCUCUGGUGCCGGAAGGUUGCUUACGGUUAUCAAAGUCGAUGGUCAAUAGGUUAGAACGGGUUAAAUUCGUUAAGGAUGUUGACGUA